GUGCUCACUUUGGCAAUACAUAACCUAAAAUUGGAAUGGUACAGAGAUUAGCAUGGCCCCUGCACAAGAAUGACUUGCAAAUUUGUGAAGCAUCUGCAUUUGUA
Equus caballus (horse) is the source of this 104-nucleotide small nuclear RNA. Lineage: Eukaryota; Metazoa; Chordata; Mammalia; Perissodactyla; Equidae. The record is from Ensembl.